RNAcentral lists this ribosomal RNA (1470 nucleotides) under Babyrousa babyrussa (babirusa). RNAcentral describes it as "partial 16S ribosomal RNA". It matches the Rfam family "Bacterial large subunit ribosomal RNA". The record is from RNAcentral. Lineage: Eukaryota; Metazoa; Chordata; Mammalia; Artiodactyla; Suidae.
ACUAAAGCUAGCUCAACAUACUAAACAAACACAAACACCACACUUAAAUAAAAUAAAACAUUCACCUGAUAUUAAAGUAUAGGAGAUAGAAAUUUUUAUAUGACGCUAUAGAGAUAGUACCGCAAGGGAAAGAUGAAAGAAUAAAAUUAAAAGUAAAAAAUUACCCCUUCUACCUUUUGCAUAAUGAUUUAACUAGAAAACAUCUAACAAAGAGAACUUUAGCUAGAUACCCCGAAACCAGACGAGCUAUCUAUGAGCAGUUUAAAAGAACCAACUCGUCUAUGUGGCAAAAUAGUGAGAAGACUUGUAGAUAGAGGUGAAAAGCCUAACGAGCCUGGUGAUAGCUGGUUGUCCGAGAAAGAAUUUCAGUUCAACCUUAAAAAUACCCCAAAAACAUUAAAUUUUAAUGUAUUUUUAAGAGAUAGUCUAAAAAGGUACAGCUUUUUAGAAAUGGAUACAACCUUGACUAGAGAGUAAAAAUUUAACAUUACCAUAGUAGGCCUAAAAGCAGCCAUCAAUUGAGAAAGCGUUAAAGCUCAACAAACUCACUAAUAUAAUACCAACAACUAAUAGUAAACUCCUAGAACAAUAUCGGACCAAUCUAUUAAGAUAUAGAAGCAAUAAUGUUAAUAUGAGUAACAAGAAGCCCUUCUCCUCGCACACGCUUACAUCAGUACCUAAUAUUAUACUGAUAAUUAACAAACUAAUAAACCAAAACAACACUAAAACGUUUAUUAACUAUAUUGUUAACCCAACACAGGAGUGCACUAAGGAAAGAUUAAAAGAAGUAAAAGGAACUCGGCAAACAUAAACCCCGCCUGUUUACCAAAAACAUCACCUCUAGCAUUACUAGUAUUAGAGGCAAUGCCUGCCCAGUGACAUCAGCUCUUACUUCCAAUCAGUGAAAUUGACCUUCCCGUGAAGAGGCGGGAAUAAAAAAAUAAGACGAGAAGACCCUAUGGAGCUUCAAUUAAUUAAUCCAAAAGUUACCCAAUUUAAUCACAAAGAGAUAACAUAAAACUUUAACAUGGAUUAACAAUUUCGGUUGGGGUGACCUCGGAGUAUAAAAAACCCUCCGAGUGAUUCUAAUCUAGACAAACUAGUCAAAAUUACUACAAAUAUCACUUAUUGAUCCAAAACCUUGAUCAACGGAACAAGUUACCCUAGGGAUAACAGCGCAAUCCUAUUCUAGAGUUCCUAUCGACAAUAGGGUUUACGACCUCGAUGUUGGAUCAGGACACCCAAAUGGUGCAACCGCUAUUAAAGGUUCGUUUGUUCAACGAUUAAAGUCCUACGUGAUCUGAGUUCAGACCGGAGUAAUCCAGGUCGGUUUCUAUCUAUUAUAAAUUUCUCCCAGUACGAAAGGACAAGAGAAAUGAGACCAACCUCACAAAUGCGUCUCAGAGAUAAUUAAUGACAUAAUCUUAACUUAACUAACUCAUAACAAAUCCCAACCCUAGAACAGGGUAC